RNAcentral lists this unclassified non-coding RNA (313 nucleotides) under uncultured fungus. RNAcentral describes it as "sequence contains ITS1, 5.8S rRNA gene". The stretch from base 265 to 313 matches the Rfam family "5.8S ribosomal RNA", at positions 1 to 49 of the family's 154-position model. Lineage: Eukaryota; Fungi. The record is from RNAcentral.
UCUCCGUAGGUGAACCUGCGGAGGGAUCAUUGAAUCUAUUGAUCUUACUGUCCGGUGGAACCGUUGUUCAAGUGCCGCUCUGUCCGCCACUCCGAGUCGGGCUGGCCUGUGUGGGAACAGGCCCGCCUUGUGGGCAGAGUCGGGUGCCCCUUUCCAACCUUGGAGAGGUUGCCCGGGCGACGGCCGAAACCCUGUUUUUCUGACCAUAGACUGGCUUAGCUGAAGCUCUGCGGCCCCCGAAAGGAGGCUGCACACAACUGAGACAACUCUCAACAACGGAUAUCUUGGCUCCCGCAUCGAUGAAGAACGCAGC